RNAcentral lists this transfer RNA (71 nucleotides) under Cordylochernes scorpioides. Its description in RNAcentral is "tRNA-Gly". It matches the Rfam family "tRNA". Rfam says of the family: Transfer RNA (tRNA) molecules are approximately 80 nucleotides in length. Their secondary structure includes four short double-helical elements and three loops (D, anti-codon, and T loops). The record is from RNAcentral. Lineage: Eukaryota; Metazoa; Arthropoda; Arachnida; Pseudoscorpiones; Chernetidae.
CCAUCGGUGGUUCAGUGGUAGAAUGCUCGUCUGCCACGCGGCCGGCCCGGGUUCGAUUCCCGGCCGAUGCA